AUGGUGAUCAAUCAAAGUGAAGAUUCGUCUCUACUGGAUCCAACAUUAUUCCCACUGUUACUUUUUGAUUAUGACUAUUACGAGCCUGGAGGAGACAGUACGGAUGAUAGCAUCGAUGGUGACCUUGAGGAUCAAGAAGAUCAUGACGGAAGUGAUGAAAGUGAGAAGAGUGACAAUGAUGAUGAGACCAGCGAAGCAAAUGGCGCAUUCUUCUUCUACAGUAUAACCAAGAGACUCUUGCUACGCAAGAGAGUAGAUCAUCUGAAAGACCACCUCUACUGGACAACACCACAAGGCUGGAUGCUCAUGUCGCACCCAGAUUCACAUGACACCUUCUUGUGGAAUCCAUUCACGCAUGAGAGGAUUGGCCUACCCCCCGACGAAGAUGAUUUCCUUCCAAGUACCAGAAUUAGGUGCUUGCUAUCGCAUAGGCCAACGGAUCCAGACUGUGUGGUGGUGGUUGUGAAUUGCAGAGAUACCAUACUUUGGUAUUGCCAUCCCGGAGCAAAUCGGUGGUCUAGUCACAUGUACGACUAUACCGGAGGAAAUCAGUGGUUUACCAAUAUGCAAGACGUGGUAGCGCAUGACCAAAUUCGUCGGGCCGCCGUUAGAUCAAUGUCGUCUCUCACAGCAGUUGGGGGGAAAUUCUACGCACAUAUGUCUGACAGAGUUGUGAGACUCGAGUUCCUGCCAAACCCAACGUUUACUACAAUCCCGGCCGAGGAAGCUUCAAAUACAGGGUACAGCUACACAUGUUCACACUCCAGCUUGCUAGAGUCUUGUGGUGAGUUGUUCAGCUUGAUUAUGAAGCAUCCAACAGUUUGUGAUCACAAGGUUGCCCAGAUUGAAGUUCAGAAGUUGGACCUAUCAACAAGAGCUUGGGUGAAAGUAGACAAGCUGGACGAUAGGGUAUUCUUCGUUGAUUCCGGCUGCCUUGGCGCAUCACUUGGUGCAAAAGAAGUCGGAUUGAAGGGAAACUGCAUCUAUUUCGUGAGGCGCCAGGACAAGGCGUUGUAUGUUUACGACAUGGAACGAGGAACUACUGCGGUACAUGAUCCAGGGCUAGAUUUACCGGAUGACAUGGCGCCUGAGAUUGUAGUGCCUCCUUCUUGA
RNAcentral lists this ribosomal RNA (1113 nucleotides) under Triticum aestivum (bread wheat). RNAcentral describes it as "partial small subunit ribosomal RNA". Lineage: Eukaryota; Viridiplantae; Streptophyta; Magnoliopsida; Poales; Poaceae. The record is from RNAcentral.